AUGCUGCCUGCUGCACUGCUGAUACUUCUGGCAACUUUACCCUGUUUCCACUGUGGCAUUGAGCUCACUCAGCCAAAUACAGUGUCCAUACAGCCUGGUCAGUCAUUGUCCAUCACCUGUAAGUCUCUGGAUAUUCACUGUCUGACAGCAGCUACUGCACAGGAUGGAUACGGCAGGUUUCUGUUUCUGGAGGAAGAGCUCUGGAGUGGAUUGGAUACAUAUGUUAUACCGGGGGCACAUACUAUAAAGAUUCACUGAAACAUAAAUUCAGCAUCAGCAGAGACACUUCCAGCAGCACAGUGACACUGCAAGGACAGAGCGUUCAGCCUGAAGACACAGCUGUGUAUUACUGUGCCCGUUAG
Molecule: non-coding RNA, 362 nt
Organism: Colossoma macropomum (tambaqui)
Lineage: Eukaryota; Metazoa; Chordata; Actinopteri; Characiformes; Serrasalmidae
Source: the annotation of a RefSeq genome assembly